AAAGUCGUAACAAGGUUUCCGUAGGUGAACCUGCGGAAGGAUCAUCACUGAUUCUCAGGGGAUAAGGAUGGCAUGGAUGUGUGAGGGGUGGUGGUGGUGGUCUCCACCGCUACUCACUCACCACACACCACGCCGCCGCCCCAACCAAUCUUGUGUGCACCGUUUCUCACCGAUUGAGAACACAAUGUGUGACAUGUGUGUGUGUGUGUUGGCGAGAGAGCCCUAUAUACAAACUCUCCCGCCAACCGCAUGCACCCUGUCGCGCGUGUUCUCUCUCUACAAUCAAUCUUUUAAAAUCAUGUCUAACGUUACCAAAAUUUCAACACAUACAACUUUUAACAAUGGAUCUCUUGGCUCUC
RNAcentral lists this unclassified non-coding RNA (359 nucleotides) under Basidiomycota sp. RNAcentral's name for it is "partial contains small subunit ribosomal RNA, internal transcribed spacer 1, and 5.8S ribosomal RNA". The stretch from base 1 to 47 matches the Rfam family "Eukaryotic small subunit ribosomal RNA", at positions 1785 to 1831 of the family's 1831-position model. Lineage: Eukaryota; Fungi; Basidiomycota. The record is from RNAcentral.